UGCUUCUAAUCGUCCUUCAAUGGACAAUUUUUGACCUCUUGACCU
RNAcentral lists this ribosomal RNA (45 nucleotides) under Adustoporia sinuosa. RNAcentral describes it as "partial 28S ribosomal RNA". The record is from RNAcentral. Lineage: Eukaryota; Fungi; Basidiomycota; Agaricomycetes; Polyporales; Adustoporiaceae.